AGUGAACGCUGGCGGUAUGCCUAACACAUGCAAGUCGAACGGCAGCACAGUAAGAGCUUGCUCUUACGGGUGGCGAGUGGCGGGCGGGUGAGGAAUACAUCGGAAUCUACUUUUUCGUGGGGGAUAACGUAGGGAAACUUACUCUAAUAUCGCAUAUGACCUACGGGUGAAAGCAGGGGAUCUUCGGACCUUGCGCGAUUGAAUGAGCCGAUGUCGGAUUAGCUAGUUGGCGGGGUAAAGGCCCACCAAGCGGACGAUGCGUGUCUGGUAUGAGAGGCUGAUCAGCCACCCUGGAACUGAGACACGGUCCCGACUCCUAGGGGAGGCAGCAGUGGGGAAUAUUGGACAAUGGGGGCAAGCCUGAUACAGCCAUACCGCGUGGGUGAAGAAGGCGUUCGGGUUGUAAAGCCCUUUUGUUGGGAAAGAAAAGCAGCAGGUUAAUACCCCGCUGUUCUGACGGUACCCAGAGAAUAAGCACCGGCUAACUUCGUG
Molecule: ribosomal RNA, 492 nt
Filed under: uncultured bacterium
Lineage: Bacteria
Description: partial 16S ribosomal RNA
Rfam family: Bacterial small subunit ribosomal RNA
Source: RNAcentral